Molecule: ribosomal RNA, 625 nt
Filed under: Arthrobacter sp. WH009004s
Lineage: Bacteria; Bacillati; Actinomycetota; Actinomycetes; Micrococcales; Micrococcaceae
Description: bacterial SSU rRNA
Rfam family: Bacterial small subunit ribosomal RNA
Source: RNAcentral
UAAUACCGGAUAUUCACUUCCUUCCGCAUGGAGGGUGGUGGAAAGAUUUAUCGGUGGGGGAUGGACUCGCGGCCUAUCAGCUUGUUGGUGGGGUAAUGGCCUACCAAGGCGACGACGGGUAGCCGGCCUGAGAGGGUGACCGGCCACACUGGGACUGAGACACGGCCCAGACUCCUACGGGAGGCAGCAGUGGGGAAUAUUGCACAAUGGGCGAAAGCCUGAUGCAGCGACGCCGCGUGAGGGAUGACGGCCUUCGGGUUGUAAACCUCUUUCAGUAGGGAAGAAGCGAAAGUGACGGUACCUGCAGAAGAAGCGCCGGCUAACUACGUGCCAGCAGCCGCGGUAAUACGUAGGGCGCAAGCGUUAUCCGGAAUUAUUGGGCGUAAAGAGCUCGUAGGCGGUUUGUCGCGUCUGCCGUGAAAGUCCGGGGCUCAACCCCGGAUCUGCGGUGGGUACGGGCAGACUAGAGUGAUGUAGGGGAGACUGGAAUUCCUGGUGUAGCGGUGAAAUGCGCAGAUAUCAGGAGGAACACCGAUGGCGAAGGCAGGUCUCUGGGCAUUAACUGACGCUGAGGAGCGAAAGCAUGGGGAGCGAACAGGAUUAGAUACCCUGGUAGUCCAUGCCG